Non-coding RNA from Microcebus murinus (gray mouse lemur), 522 nucleotides. Lineage: Eukaryota; Metazoa; Chordata; Mammalia; Primates; Cheirogaleidae. The record is from RefSeq and is a predicted model, not a curated record.
UCUGUUCUCUUUUUCAGUGUGGGAUAUCUGGAUGAUACUUGUGUGACAACUGGAGACUGGACAUGAUGGAUGACGUAGGAAACCUCUGGAGGGUACCUACAUUGUUGCCAUAAACCACUGUGCCCAUGUGGAAAACAUUACAGUCCUGGGGCAAAAGAUAAACUUCAUGCUUGAUAAAAAAACAACCAAAAGGGUCUACAUAUAGACAACAAUUUAAACAAGUUAAAGGCCAUAGACUUUGAAAGAAGAAGGGAUCUUAAAAACAUUUAGACCAAAGACCACUGAAUUUCAAAGAUAUCAAGCUGGAGUUGAAGUUAAUUCUGAUGGGAUCCAUACCUCACUGGCACAGUGGUCAAACGGAUCUGGAUGGGAAGAAGUUGAAUGCUGUGUUUUCUCUAAGACUCUCUUAUUCAUGAGGUCUGAAAUUUGGAAUCACAUCUCAGUUUGGACAAGACACAUUUGAAGUACUCAACAGUCACGUGUGGCUGGUGGCUGUCAUGUUGGACAAGGCAAGUUUGAAAG